This 1141-nucleotide long non-coding RNA is filed under the name Parus major (Great Tit). Its description in RNAcentral is "lncRNA (ENSPMJG00000002619.1)". Lineage: Eukaryota; Metazoa; Chordata; Aves; Passeriformes; Paridae. The record is from RNAcentral.
AUUAAAUGGGUGUAUUGGACUGUACAGAGGGCUACAUCAGCUUGGAAGGAAAAGUGAUGCUCCCACUGCCCCGAGACCCCAAGCAAGCUCCUUUCUGGCAGGCGGUGGCAGUGCCCUGCUGACCAUCCUGCCCACCCAGCAGCCCCUGAGCCCACGGGUGUUGAAGGUCACACCAGGGGAGCGCUGAGUACUGCCAACACUUUGGCUUUUAUUCUCCAGGCUUGGCUGUAGCUGCAUCCCUGUGGCUCUCCACUCCCUCUCCCCCUCCAUCUUGUCAGCCGUUCUCUUUCGGCGGCACUUAAUCUUCUCAUCGUUCUCCUUCUCCCUGCUGUGCGCUGCUGCUUUUGUUCCUCCACUCUCAGAAGGAAUCUGACCUUUGCUUUAUUUCACUCCUGGCUUUUACUAACUGGGCACCAGCUUUAUUUCCCUACCUCUGCCUCCCUACCCCUACUCUUUAUGCGUAAAUUCAGCAUCUGCAGAGAGCCUACGCGAAGCCUCCUGCAUUCAGCCGCAUCCCUAAGCACGCAGCCCAGGAGAUGCUCAAGGGCGUGGAGGUGCAGGUUUGGAAAGGGAUGAACACACACCAUCGUACCCACAGCAAAGCAGGGCUGUUACGAAACUCCCGUUCAUGCUUUCCCAUCCCUUACGCGGCUCACUGGCAGAACAGCGUUUCUGUGCAUAACAAAGCAGGGUCAGCAAAUUAAAUAUAAAUUAAAUAUAAAUAACUGGCAGAUAAGCAGCUGCGCUCCGAAGGUGGAUAGUCAGUAUGUCUGUCUCCCAGGACUGCAGUCGCCGGCAGAUCCAUAGCAAUCCUGUCGCAAGAAGAGAAAGGAAGGGUGACCCGUCGUUUCCUGCCUCACGCCUGCUGGGAAUUUGAGUCCCUUGUCAGAGCUCGUCACCACGUCCCCCGUGCCAGCCUCGGGGUGAGCGGCCUUUCCCCAAACGCCUGCUGGAAAUUUCCAGAGGCACCACAGCAGUCCCGAAACAAAAAGCUGCUGUGCCUCCCCGCAGGCGCUUCAUUUUGGGAUCUAUUGCUCCUGGCAGGCACGCCAUGCUCUGCUUCACCGACUGAAUUUAAACCUCUUACGUGCUGCUCAGUUGGAGGGUUUCAUAUUAAGUGUCCAAAAUCAGAAUUAGUCCC